Molecule: ribosomal RNA, 468 nt
Filed under: uncultured bacterium
Lineage: Bacteria
Description: partial 16S ribosomal RNA
Rfam family: Bacterial small subunit ribosomal RNA
Source: RNAcentral
GACGAACGCUGGCGGCGUGCUUAACACAUGCAAGUCGAACGGAAAGGCCCUGCUUUUGUGGGGUGCUCGAGUGGCGAACGGGUGAGUAACACGUGAGUAACCUGCCCUUGACUUUGGGAUAACUUCAGGAAACUGGGGCUAAUACCGGAUAGGAGCUCCUGCUGCAUGGUGGGGGUUGGAAAGUUUCGGCGGUUGGGGAUGGACUCGCGGCUUAUCAGCUUGUUGGUGGGGUAGUGGCUUACCAAGGCUUUGACGGGUAGCCGGCCUGAGAGGGUGACCGGCCACAUUGGGACUGAGAUACGGCCCCGACUCCUACGGGAGGCAGCAGUGGGGAAUAUUGCACAAUGGGCCGAAGCCUGAUGCAGCAACGCCGCGUGCGGGAUGACGGCCUUCGGGUUGUAAACCGCUUUCGCCUGUGACGAAGCGUGAGUGACGGUAAUGGGUAAAGAAGCACCGGCUAACUACGUG